Molecule: transfer RNA, 64 nt
Filed under: Atheta gagatina
Lineage: Eukaryota; Metazoa; Arthropoda; Insecta; Coleoptera; Staphylinidae
Description: tRNA-Cys
Source: RNAcentral
AGCUUUAUAGUCAAAAUAUGAUUUUAAAUUGCAAAUUUAAAGUUGGUUCUUAAACCUAAGGCUU